Molecule: long non-coding RNA, 350 nt
Organism: Colius striatus (speckled mousebird)
Lineage: Eukaryota; Metazoa; Chordata; Aves; Coliiformes; Coliidae
Exons: 3
Source: RefSeq, a predicted model, not a curated record
GCGGCCGCGGCCUCUCUCGGCCUCAGCUGCCGCCAUCUUCCAGCGGCGGCGUUACCGGCCGCUUCCAUCCGUUGCCAUCCGUUGCUCGCGCCGCCUCUUGCCCGCCGGGACCGAGCGCCGCGUCUCCGCCCCGCCAUGAGAGCCAAGUGGCGCAAGAAGCGAAUGCGCAGGCUGAAGCGCAAGAGGAGGAAGAUGAGGCAAAGGUCCAAGUAGCCGCCGCCGGGGCGCGACGACACCGACGCGGCCGCCGCCGAUGGGACGUUCCCGGUGCCGCCGGGUCGGGGCGAGAUCCGCGCGCCGCGCCGGUUGCGUGCGCUCUGUGCCGCGAAUAAAGCUGGUUGUUACUGGGA